RNAcentral lists this ribosomal RNA (253 nucleotides) under uncultured bacterium. RNAcentral describes it as "partial 16S ribosomal RNA". It matches the Rfam family "Bacterial small subunit ribosomal RNA", at positions 524 to 776 of the family's 1533-position model. The record is from RNAcentral.
UACGGAGGGUGCAAACGUUGCUCGGAAUCAUUGGGCGUAAAGCGCACGUAGGCGGUUCUGCAAGUCGGGUGUGAAAUCCCUCGGCUUAACCAAGGAAGUGCAUUCGAAACUGCAGAACUUGAGUACUGGAGAGGGUCGCGGAAUUCUCGGUGUAGAGGUGAAAUGCGUAGAUAUCUGGAGGAACACCGGUGGCGAAGGCGGCAUCCUGGACCAACACUGACACUGAGGAGCGAAAGCCAGGGGAGCAAACGGG